ACCUGGGUGGCUCAGUCGGUUGAGCGUCUGACUUCGGCUCAGGUCAUGAUCUCACGGUUUGUGGGUUUGAGCCCCGCGUCAGGCU
This 85-nucleotide transfer RNA is filed under the name Felis catus (domestic cat). It matches the Rfam family "tRNA". Rfam says of the family: Transfer RNA (tRNA) molecules are approximately 80 nucleotides in length. Their secondary structure includes four short double-helical elements and three loops (D, anti-codon, and T loops). Further hydrogen bonds mediate the characteristic L-shaped molecular structure. tRNAs have two regions of fundamental functional importance: the anti-codon, which is responsible for specific mRNA codon recognition, and the 3' end, to which the tRNAs corresponding amino acid is attached (by aminoacyl-tRNA synthetases). tRNAs cope with the degeneracy of the genetic code in two manners: having more than one tRNA (with a specific anti-codon) for a particular amino acid; and 'wobble' base-pairing, i.e. permitting non-standard base-pairing at the 3rd anti-codon position. RNAcentral also lists the same sequence under 1 other name. Lineage: Eukaryota; Metazoa; Chordata; Mammalia; Carnivora; Felidae. The record is from Rfam by way of RNAcentral.